Molecule: long non-coding RNA, 293 nt
Filed under: Salvia miltiorrhiza (redroot sage)
Lineage: Eukaryota; Viridiplantae; Streptophyta; Magnoliopsida; Lamiales; Lamiaceae
Description: long non-coding RNA (SMIL_LNC002974)
Source: RNAcentral
UGAUGAUGAGGCCAUGGACAUCGACACUGGUUCAACAACGACAGAUAGUAGUUCAAGAGGCGCAACUCCACCAAGGUUUCUGGUAAGAAUAAUGCAAGAGCAUGAAGCCGUGUUGUUGUUCGAGAAGAAGCUGGAGUUAUCGGACGUGGCGGAGGAGCAGAACGAGGUGGUGAUCUCGGGAGGCGAGAGGGUGAUGGCGGCUCUGACGGAAGAAGAGAGAGGGAGGGUAGAGAGAGAAGGGUUCAUUGAGGUAAGCACAAUGGAUCCACGUGAAAACGAGUACAGCAUGAGCA